Molecule: long non-coding RNA, 1051 nt
Organism: Suricata suricatta (meerkat)
Lineage: Eukaryota; Metazoa; Chordata; Mammalia; Carnivora; Herpestidae
Exons: 6
Source: RefSeq, a predicted model, not a curated record
ACCCGACCCCCGCCCUCCCUGCCUGUUGCGUCGCCAUCGGGGGUCGCGCCUGAGCCUCCGCUUCUCUCGCUUGUGUUUCCUUGCCAACCUGCCCCCUGGCAACCUUGGGCUACGAGUUCUAGACCCAGCUCUGCUUCCGCUCUUCUUGAGAGGUGGGGUGGCGACCCGUAGCAGGUGGAAGGAAGACGGUGCAUUUAUGGACUGAUCCUCGUCCUUGCGGUGGUUUCAGGCACGUCAACUGUGCAGCUGCUCUGUGAUAUUUUAGGUUGUUUCGUACCCCUAGUUGGGCCCUUCCCUGGCCAGCCCAGUGGCUCCCUCAGAGCAGGGACUACCUCCUGUAGACCUAGGUUCCUGCCUGGCACUGAGUACAGCGUCUUGCGCAAAGAAGGGGCUCCAGGGAUGUCUGCCAAAUGAAUGAAACCUUGAGAGCCCAGGCUUUCUGAGACACUUCUACUCAAGGGCUUCCCAGACACAGAGCUUAAUCUCUGAGCAAAUACAAAUGCGGAAAAGGUCCAUUUUAACUUUCUGAAGAAAAGGAGCAUCUCUCCAAGCUUACAUUGAAUUGGCACCAUGUUACGAGAUGAUCCAAUGAGAUGUUUCCAUGAAGAGCAUGUUCUCACCUGGCCCGGGAGAAGUUCAAAACAUGGAACUAAAAUGGAAACUGUGAGAAUAAUAAGCAAGCUAUGACUUGUAUAUAUCAUGAGCAACAACUGAAACACAAUGAGGACAAAGCAGAUAGUAGAACAAAGCUGUGAGGGCUACUUGGAAGCUGGUGAGAGCCCAGGAGUGUCAAGAUGUUAUCAGUGAACAGCCUGGUUUUAAAACCCGGAAUGUCCCCUGAGUCCAACAACGGCAGGGCUAUGCAGUGAGAGACCUUUCUAUUCCUGGGCCAAAACUCUUCCUCUAAAGAGCUAGACUUGACAUUACCUACUCUCAUAGGACCACCUGGAUACAGUCCAGGUGAAGAAGAGCCACCAGUACUAUGGCUGAGCAGAAAAAUAUCCCAGAGAGAGGUUGUCAUAGGAACUGUACCAGAGGAGCAGCUACGCAC